This 194-nucleotide small nuclear RNA is filed under the name Rosellinia necatrix. RNAcentral's name for it is "U2 spliceosomal RNA". It matches the Rfam family "U2 spliceosomal RNA". From Rfam's summary of the family: U2 is a small nuclear RNA (snRNA) component of the spliceosome (involved in pre-mRNA splicing). Complementary binding between U2 snRNA (in an area lying towards the 5' end but 3' to hairpin I) and the branchpoint sequence (BPS) of the intron results the bulging out of an unpaired adenosine, on the BPS, which initiates a nucleophilic attack at the intronic 5' splice site, thus starting the first of two transesterification reactions that mediate splicing. The record is from Rfam by way of RNAcentral. Lineage: Eukaryota; Fungi; Ascomycota; Sordariomycetes; Xylariales; Xylariaceae.
UUAGCUCUCUUUGCCUUUUGGCUUAGAUCAAGUGUAGUAUCUGUUCUUUUCAGUUUAAUCUCUGAAAGAGUCCUACUGGACUCAAUCGUGAUUAUUCUAAUUUUUUCCCUUCGGAGGCGUACCCUCUGUGCUUGCGCAUGGUCGCCUCCACUGUGUCCCUGGUAUUACACUGCCUCCAGGCGACGCGAACACCC